RNAcentral lists this ribosomal RNA (254 nucleotides) under uncultured bacterium. Its description in RNAcentral is "partial 16S ribosomal RNA". It matches the Rfam family "Bacterial small subunit ribosomal RNA", at positions 524 to 776 of the family's 1533-position model. The record is from RNAcentral.
UACGUAGGGAGCGAGCGUUGUCCGGAUUCAUUGGGCGUAAAGAGCUCGUAGGCGGCUUGGUAAGUCGGAUGUGAAACCUCCAGGCUCAACCUGGAGUCGCCAUCCGAUACUGCCAUGGCUAGAGUCCGGUAGGGGCCCACGGAAUUCCUGGUGUAGCGGUGAAAUGCGCAGAUAUCAGGAGGAACACCGAUGGCGAAGGCAGCCCCCUGGGUCAAAACUGAUGCUCAUGCACGAAAGCGUGGGGAGCAAACAGG